Molecule: ribosomal RNA, 373 nt
Filed under: Vreelandella gomseomensis
Lineage: Bacteria; Pseudomonadati; Pseudomonadota; Gammaproteobacteria; Oceanospirillales; Halomonadaceae
Description: bacterial SSU rRNA
Rfam family: Bacterial small subunit ribosomal RNA
Source: RNAcentral
GAGUUUGAAUCUGGCUCAGAUUGAACGCUGGCGGCAGGCCUAACACAUGCAAGUCGAGCGGUAACAGGGGUAGCUUGCUACCCGCUGACGAGCGGCGGACGGGUGAGUAACGCAUAGGAAUUUACCCGGUAGUGGGGGAUAACCUGGGGAAACCCAGGCUAAUACCGCAUACGUCCUACGGGAGAAAGGGGGCUUUGGCUCCCGCUAUCGGAUGAGCCUAUGCCGGAUUAGCUAGUUGGUGAGGUAAUGGCUCACCAAGGCGACGAUCCGUAGCUGGUCUGAGAGGAUGAUCAGCCACAUCGGGACUGAGACACGGCCCGAACUCCUACGGGAGGCAGCAGUGGGGAAUAUUGGACAAUGGGGCAACCCUGAU